Molecule: ribosomal RNA, 403 nt
Filed under: uncultured bacterium
Lineage: Bacteria
Description: bacterial SSU rRNA
Rfam family: Bacterial small subunit ribosomal RNA
Source: RNAcentral
UGGGGGAUAUUGCACAAUGGAGGAAACUCUGAUGCAGCGACGCCGCGUGAGGGAAGACGGUCUUCGGAUUGUAAACCUCUGUCUUAGGGGAAGAAAAUGACGGUACCCUAAGAGGAAGCUCCGGCUAACUACGUGCCAGCAGCCGCGGUAAUACGUAGGGAGCGAGCGUUGUCCGGAAUUACUGGGUGUAAAGGGAGCGUAGGCGGGACAGCAAGUUGGAUGUUUAAACUACCGGCUUAACCGGUAUCUGCAUCCAAAACUGCAGUUCUUGAGUGAAGUAGAGGCAGGCGGAAUUCCUAGUGUAGCGGUGAAAUGCGUAGAUAUUAGGAGGAACACCAGUGGCGAAGGCGGCCUGCUGGGCUUUAACUGACGCUGAGGCUCGAAAGCGUGGGGAGCAAACAGG